GACGAACGCUGGCGGCGUGCUUAACACAUGCAAGUCGAACGGUAAGGCCCUUCGGGGUACACGAGUGGCGAACGGGUGAGUAACGCGUGAGUAACCUGCCCUUCACUCUGGGAUAACAGUUGGAAACGGCUGCUAAUACCGGAUAUUCAGCUCCUGUCGCAUGGUGGGGGUUGGAAAGUUUUGGUGGUGGAGGAUGGGCUCGCGUCCUAUCAGCUUGUUGGUGGGGUGAUGGCCUACCAAGGCGUCGACAGGUAGCCGGCCUGAGAGGGCGACCGGCCACAUUGGGACUGAGAUACGGCCCAAACUCCUACGGGAGGCAGCAGUGGGGAAUAUUGCACAAUGGGCGGAAGCCUGAUGCAGCAACGCCGCGUGCGGGAUGACGGCCUUCGGGUUGUAAACCGCUUUCAGCAGGGACGAAGCGCAAGUGACGGUACCUGCAGAAGAAGCACCGGCUAACUACGUG
This 463-nucleotide ribosomal RNA is filed under the name uncultured bacterium. RNAcentral's name for it is "partial 16S ribosomal RNA". It matches the Rfam family "Bacterial small subunit ribosomal RNA", at positions 28 to 507 of the family's 1533-position model. The record is from RNAcentral.